GUAUUCUCCACUGGUUGAAUGCAAAUGGAAGCCAGAGGAAAAGGGAACCCUUGACACAGUUUUCAUAUAGACUGGCCUCCAGGGCAGACAGCAGGAGGGGGGUUUAAUCUGGACUGAAUUGGAGGAAAGGAACUGGCACCAGAGUGGAGGCUGGAAGGAUGGUGGAACUGACACUGGGACAGAACACAGAAAACAGAAUAUAAUGCUAUUGCUCUGGCUGUAUCAAAUAAAAGUGUCAAGAGUGAGCAUCCUUGCAUUGUGCUGAAUCACAGAGGAAUACCUUUCAAUUUUUCUCCAUUGACUAUGAUAGCAGUGGGCUUUUCACAUGUGGGCUUUACUGUGUUGAGGAGGAGGUCUGAUGGCCGGGAGGAUGGGAAGAAGGAACCCACAAUGAAGCAAAAGUCACGUUUAACUCUGUCCUCACCAUUCCUCUCCUGGGCCUGUCCUAAACUGGAAGCUGGGGGAGGAUGGAGUGCUGGAAUGCUGUAGAAGUCUCAUGGGAGGGCGCCUGGUGUUCACCACAUGUGUACACUGUUGCACGACCAG
RNAcentral lists this small RNA (546 nucleotides) under Pongo abelii (Sumatran orangutan). RNAcentral describes it as "processed transcript". The record is from RNAcentral. Lineage: Eukaryota; Metazoa; Chordata; Mammalia; Primates; Hominidae.